UCUCCGUAGGUGAACCUGCGGAGGGAUCAUUUCCACAAAGCGCUAUUUCCUCUGAAAGGUGGAGAAAGCGACUUUAAACAACAAACCCGCGAGCCUUUUAUGUUUGGUGUGCUGGCGCAAGCGAUUCGCUUCGCUUCAUCAAAAGCCAACACGCCACACAAUUUUACAAAAGACCCGUCAACUUGAAACUUAAAUCCAGUUUAUCCAACAAAAACAACUUUAAGCAAUGGAUAUCUUGGUUCUCACAUCGAUGAAGAACGCAGC
This 264-nucleotide unclassified non-coding RNA is filed under the name plant metagenome. RNAcentral's name for it is "partial contains small subunit ribosomal RNA, internal transcribed spacer 1, and 5.8S ribosomal RNA". The stretch from base 216 to 264 matches the Rfam family "5.8S ribosomal RNA", at positions 1 to 49 of the family's 154-position model. The record is from RNAcentral.